RNAcentral lists this ribosomal RNA (483 nucleotides) under uncultured bacterium. RNAcentral describes it as "partial 16S ribosomal RNA". It matches the Rfam family "Bacterial small subunit ribosomal RNA", at positions 28 to 523 of the family's 1533-position model. The record is from RNAcentral.
GAUGAACGCUGGCGGCGUGCUUAACACAUGCAAGUCGAACGGUGAAGCAGAGCUUGCUCUGUGGAUCAGUGGCGAACGGGUGAGUAGCACGUGAGCAACCUGCCCUGGACUCUGGGAUAAGCGCUGGAAACGGCGUCUAAUACUGGAUACGAGACGUGGCCGCAUGGUCAACGUUUGGAAAGAUUUUUUGGUUCAGGAUGGGCUCGCGGCCUAUCAGCUUGUUGGUGAGGUAAUGGCUCACCAAGGCGUCGACGGGUAGCCGGCCUGGGAGGGUGACCGGCCACACUGGGACUGGGACACGGCCCAGACUCCUACGGGAGGCAGCAGUGGGGAAUAUUGCACAAUGGGCGAAAGCCUGAUGCAGCAACGCCGCGUGAGGGAUGACGGCCUUCGGGUUGUAAACCUCUUUUAGCAAGGAAGAAGCGAAAGUGACGGUACUUGCAGAAAAAGCGCCGGCUAACUACGUGCCAGCAGCCGCAGUAA